AGCAUCCGUAGCUCGUUUUGUAAGUUUUCGGUUAAAUCCAUGCGCUUAACGUAUGGGCUGCCGGGAAUACUGCAUAACUAGGAAGUGGGAGAGGUAGACGGUACUCGGUAGGAAGGGGUAAAAUCCUUUGAUCUAUUGAUGACCACCUGUGGCGAAGGCGGUCUACCAGAACACGUUCGACGGUGAGGGAUGAAAGCUGGGGGAGCAAACCGGAUUAGAUACCCGGGUAGUCCCAGCUGUAAACUAUGCAAACUCAGUGAUGCAUUGGCUUGUGGCCAAUGCAGUGCUGCAGGGAAGCCGUUAAGUUUGCCGCCUGGGAAGUACGUACGCAAGUAUGAAACUUAAAGGAAUUGGUGGGGGAGCACAAGUU
Molecule: ribosomal RNA, 370 nt
Filed under: uncultured Nitrososphaerota archaeon
Lineage: Archaea; Thermoproteati; Nitrososphaerota
Description: bacterial SSU rRNA
Rfam family: Archaeal small subunit ribosomal RNA
Source: RNAcentral